Oncorhynchus tshawytscha (Chinook salmon) is the source of this 1298-nucleotide long non-coding RNA. Lineage: Eukaryota; Metazoa; Chordata; Actinopteri; Salmoniformes; Salmonidae. The record is from Ensembl.
CAGGAGGCUGUAAAACGGCACAGGGCUCUGUCUCUGUGUUUGUGCAACAACAGCACAACUCAUAGUGCUUAUAUCUGGCAGGAUAACCCCACAGGCAGGAUAACCCCUCAGACACUAUAACCCCACAGACACUAUAACCCCUCAGACACUAUAACCCCACAGGCAGGAUAACCCCACAGGCAGGAUAACCCCACAGGCAGGAUAACCCCACAGACAGGAUAACCCCUCAGACACUAUAACCCCUCAGACACUAUAACCCCACAGGCAGGAUAACCCCACAGGCAGGAUAACCCCUCAGACACUAUAACCCCACAGACACUAUAACCCCACAGGCAGGAUAACCCCACAGGCAGGAUAACCCCACAGGCAGGAUAACCCCACAGACAGGAUAACCCCUCAGACACUAUAACCCCUCAGACACUAUAACCCCACAGGCAGGAUAACCCCACAGGCAGGAUAACCCCACAGACACUAUAACCCCUCAGACACUAUAAACCCACAGGCAGAAUAACCCCUCAGACAGGAUAGCCCCACAUACACUAUAAACCCACAGGCAGGAUAACCCAUCAGACACUAUAAUCCCACAGGCAGGAGAACCCCACAGACAGGAUAACCCCACAGGCAGGAUAACCCCACAGACACUAUAACCCCUCAGACAGGAUAACCCCACAGACACUAUAAACCCAUAGACAGGAUAACCCCACAGGCAGGAUAACCCACAGGCAGGAUAACCCAACAGACACUAUAACCCCACAGACAGGAUAACAGGAUAACCCCACAGACACUAUAACCCCACAGACACUAUAACCCCACAGACACUAUAACCCCACAGACAGGAUAACCCCACAGACAGGAUAACCCCACAGGCAUGAUAACCCCACAGGCAGGAUAACCCCUCAUACAAUAUAACCCCACAGGCACUAUAACCCCACAGACAGGAUAACCCCACAGGCAUGAUAACCCCACAGGCAGGAUAACCCCACAGGCAUGAUAACCCCACAGGCAGGAUAACCCCGCAGACAGGAUAACCCCACAGGCAGGAUAACCCCACAGGCAGGAUAACAACUCAUACACUAUAAUCACACAGGCAGGAUAACCCCUCAUACAAUAUACCCCCACAGGCAGGAUAACCCCACAGACAGAAUAACCCCACAGGUAGGAUAACCCCACAGGCAGGAUAACCCCACAGACAGGAUAACCCCACAGGCAUGAUAACCCCACAGGCAUGAUAACCCCACAGGCAUGAUAACCCCACAGGCAUGAUAACCCCACAGGCAGGAUAACCCCACAGGCAGGAU